UAAGUAAGCUUUGAUCCAGAGAUUUCCGAAUGGGGAAACCCAGCAUGAGUUAUGUCAUGUUAUCGAUAUGUGAAUACAUAGCAUAUCAGAAGGCACACCCGGAGAACUGAAACAUCUUAGUACCCGGAGGAAGAGAAAGAAAAUUCGAUUCCCUUAGUAGCGGCGAGCGAAACGGGAAGAGCCCAAACCAACAAGCUUGCUUGUUGGGGUUGUAGGACACUCUAUACGGAGUUACAAAGGACGACAUUAGACGAAUCAUCUGGAAAGAUGAAUCAAAGAAGGUAAUAAUCCUGUAGUCGAAAAUGUUGUCUCUCUUGAGUGGAUCCUGAGUACGACGGAGCACGUGAAAUUCCGUCGGAAUCUGGGAGGACCAUCUCCUAAGGCUAAAUACUCUCUAGUGACCGAUAGUGAACCAGUACCGUGAGGGAAAGGUGAAAAGCACCCCGGAAGGGGAGUGAAAUAGAACCUGAAACCGUGUGCUUACAAGUAGUCAGAGCCCGUUAAUGGGUGAUGGCGUGCCUUUUGUAGAAUGAACCGGCGAGUUACGAUUUGAUGCAAGGUUAAGCAGUAAAUGUGGAGCCGUAGCGAAAGCGAGUCUGAAUAGGGCGUUUAGUAUUUGGUCGUAGACCCGAAACCAGGUGAUCUACCCUUGGUCAGGUUGAAGUUCAGGUAACACUGAAUGGAGGACCGAACCGACUUACGUUGAAAAGUGAGCGGAUGAACUGAGGGUAGCGGAGAAAUUCCAAUCGAACCUGGAGAUAGCUGGUUCUCUCCGAAAUAGCUUUAGGGCUAGCCUCAAGUGAUGAUUAUUGGAGGUAGAGCACUGUUUGGACGAGGGGCCCCUCUCGGGUUACCGAAUUCAGACAAACUCCGAAUGCCAAUUAAUUUAACUUGGGAGUCAGAACAUGGGUGAUAAGGUCCGUGUUCGAAAGGGAAACAGCCCAGACCACCAGCUAAGGUCCCAAAAUAUAUGUUAAGUGGAAAAGGAUGUGGCGUUGCCCAGACAACUAGGAUGUUGGCUUAGAAGCAGCCAUCAUUUAAAGAGUGCGUAAUAGCUCACUAGUCGAGUGACACUGCGCCGAAAAUGUACCGGGGCUAAACAUAUUACCGAAGCUGUGGAUUGUCCUUUGGACAAUGGUAGGAGAGCGUUCUAAGGGUGUUGAAGCAUGAUCGCAAGGACAUGUGGAGCGCUUAGAAGUGAGAAUGCCGGUGUGAGUAGCGAAAGACGGGUGAGAAUCCCGUCCACCGAUUGACUAAGGUUUCCAGAGGAAGGCUCGUCCGCUCUGGGUUAGUCGGGUCCUAAGCUGAGGCCGACAGGCGUAGGCGAUGGAUAACAGGUUGAUAUUCCUGUACCACCUAUAAUCGUUUUAAUCGAUGGGGGGACGCAGUAGGAUAGGCGAAGCGUGCGAUUGGAUUGCACGUCUAAGCAGUAAGGCUGAGUAUUAGGCAAAUCCGGUACUCGUUAAGGCUGAGCUGUGAUGGGGAGAAGACAUUGUGUCUUCGAGUCGUUGAUUUCACACUGCCGAGAAAAGCCUCUAGAUAGAAAAUAGGUGCCCGUACCGCAAACCGACACAGGUAGUCAAGAUGAGAAUUCUAAGGUGAGCGAGCGAAAUCUCGUUAAGGAACUCGGCAAAAUGACCCCGUAACUUCGGGAGAAGGGGUGCUCUUUAGGGUUAACGCCCAGAAGAGCCGCAGUGAAUAGGCCCAAGCGACUGUUUAUCAAAAACACAGGUCUCUGCUAAACCGUAAGGUGAUGUAUAGGGGCUGACGCCUGCCCGGUGCUGGAAGGUUAAGAGGAGUGGUUAGCUUCUGCGAAGCUACGAAUCGAAGCCCCAGUAAACGGCGGCCGUAACUAUAACGGUCCUAAGGUAGCGAAAUUCCUUGUCGGGUAAGUUCCGACCCGCACGAAAGGCGUAACGAUUUGGGCACUGUCUCAACGAGAGACUCGGUGAAAUCAUAGUACCUGUGAAGAUGCAGGUUACCCGCGACAGGACGGAAAGACCCCGUGGAGCUUUACUGUAGCCUGAUAUUGAAAUUCGGCACAGCUUGUACAGGAUAGGUAGGAGCCUUUGAAACGUGAGCGCUAGCUUACGUGGAGGCGCUGGUGGGAUACUACCCUAGCUGUGUUGGCUUUCUAACCCGCACCACUUAUCGUGGUGGGAGACAGUGUCAGGCGGGCAGUUUGACUGGGGCGGUCGCCUCCUAAAAGG
This 2210-nucleotide ribosomal RNA is filed under the name Staphylococcus aureus. RNAcentral describes it as "partial 23S ribosomal RNA". It matches the Rfam family "Bacterial large subunit ribosomal RNA", at positions 89 to 2297 of the family's 2925-position model. Lineage: Bacteria; Bacillati; Bacillota; Bacilli; Caryophanales; Staphylococcaceae. The record is from RNAcentral.